CUGACCUGGGCCAGAUGCUGUGCUGGGCUCUCGAGAUAAAAGAUGAGAAGGACCCAGUCCUAGUUCCCAGGCAGCUUACCACCUGGGAGGGAGAGGAUUCAAGCUGGGAUGCCCGACUUAGACUGGCCAUUAGAGACAAUCCUGGCCUCCAGGGUCAGUCCUGCUCUUCCAGGUGCUUCCUCACACUCCUACUGACAAAUUGAGGCUACACAGGGACAAGGUUGUCUUUCAAAGAAGUGGUCCCCAGCCAGUAAUAUCUUAUGCCGUGGUUAUAGACAACACAGACAGGGGUGAAUAUGGGCCAUAAAAGAAAGAGGCAACAUGUGACAUUUAAUUCAAGAUUAAAAGAAAUCGUCAAUUGGAGCUGAUUGUGCUCAUCCAGAUGUCACCAGAAACAGCUGUAUGCCAUCUGCCGGAGUGGGUACCACCAGCUGGAGCAGCUCUCCUCAAGACCCUGGUUCUGCUUUUCUCCCCAGCAGGAAGAUGCUCCUGAGACAUACAGCUUCUCGAAAUGGUCUUGCAAGAUUGAGCAAUCAGUCGCACUUGGCAGCAGCCAGCUCGGUAAUGUGUCCUUCGAGUGGCUCUCCCCUCCCUGCCUCCUCUUCCUUCUUGGGAUUGCACUCCCUAAUAAAGAAGUA
Long non-coding RNA from Mustela erminea (ermine), 638 nucleotides. RefSeq lists it as uncharacterized. The record is from RefSeq and is a predicted model, not a curated record. NCBI's taxonomy places the organism in Eukaryota, Metazoa, Chordata, Mammalia, Carnivora, Mustelidae. The transcript has 3 exons.